This 466-nucleotide ribosomal RNA is filed under the name uncultured bacterium. RNAcentral describes it as "bacterial SSU rRNA". It matches the Rfam family "Bacterial small subunit ribosomal RNA", at positions 338 to 795 of the family's 1533-position model. The record is from RNAcentral.
CCUACGGGUGGCAGCAGUGGGGAAUAUUGGACAAUGGGGGAAACCCUGAUCCAGCCAUGCCGCGUGUGUGAAGAAGGCCUUUUGGUUGUAAAGCACUUUAAGCGGGGAGGAGGGCGUUAUGGUUAAUACCCAUAGGCGUCGGACGUUACCCGCAGAAUAAGCACCGGCUAACUCUGUGCCAGCAGCCGCGGUAAUACAGAGGGUGCGAGCGUUAAUCGGAAUUACUGGGCGUAAAGCGCGUGUAGGCGGUUAUGUAAGUUGGAUGUGAAAUCCCCGGGCUUAACCUGGGCACUGCAUUCAAAACUGCAUAGCUAGAGUAUGGGAGAGGAAGGUAGAAUUCCAGGUGUAGCGGUGAAAUGCGUAGAGAUCUGGAGGAAUACCGAUGGCGAAGGCAGCCUUCUGGCCUAAUACUGACGCUGAGAUGCGAAAGCAUGGGGAGCAAACAGGAUUAGAUACCCCAGUAGUC